RNAcentral lists this ribosomal RNA (478 nucleotides) under uncultured Thalassobacter sp. RNAcentral's name for it is "bacterial SSU rRNA". It matches the Rfam family "Bacterial small subunit ribosomal RNA", at positions 8 to 532 of the family's 1533-position model. Lineage: Bacteria; Pseudomonadati; Pseudomonadota; Alphaproteobacteria; Rhodobacterales; Roseobacteraceae. The record is from RNAcentral.
AGAGUUUGAUCCUGGCUCAGAACGAACGCUGGCGGCACGCCUAACACAUGCAAGUCGAGCGCUACCUUCGGGUGGAGCGGCGGACGGGUUAGUAACGCGUGGGAACAUACCCUUCUCUAAGGAAUAGCCACUGGAAACGGUGAGUAAUACCUUAUACGCCCUUCGGGGGAAAGAUUUAUCGGUGAAGGAUUGGCCCGCGUUAGAUUAGAUAGUUGGUGGGGUAAUGGCCUACCAAGUCUACGAUCUAUAGCUGGUUUGAGAGGAUGAUCAGCAACACUGGGACUGAGACACGGCCCAGACUCCUACGGGAGGCAGCAGUGGGGAAUCUUAGACAAUGGGGGAAACCCUGAUCUAGCGAUGCCGCGUGUGUGACGAAGGCCUUAGGGUCGUAAAGCACUUUCGCCAGAGAUGAUAAUGACAGUAUCUGGUAAAGAAACCCCGGCUAACUCCGUGCCAGCAGCCGCGGUAAUAAGGGCGA